AGAAUAUUAAAGCAUCUUCCCAGAAAGUAACAGAAUCCACAAAUUCUGUGACCCAAUCGCCUAAUAAAAAUCAAGAGGUUUGCUGCAUUGAUGAAGGUGAUAUUGUCCAAUUUGUCAAUAAAAAUCUUGAAAGUGAACAUGACAAUGAUACGAAUAGUGAAGAUAUUCCUCUAAAUCGUCUAUCUUCUAGGGUUCAGGUUAAAGAUUCAAAUCAAAAAGAAACGGCUACCUUUUGUAAAAGAAGGAAAUUUGAUACCGUUCUCAAGACUCGAAAAUUGUUGAAGCAGCAAAAAAACGUGCUGAAAAUCAUGCAGUCUUACCUGGCUGCAAAAACUGUAAGAAAAAAUGUUCGUCGCUUAUUUUAAAUGAGGUAAAAAAAUCAAUAAAUAGUCAUUUUUUGGCAAUUGUCUAAAUUUUGGCAAUUGUCUAAAAAUG
Anthonomus grandis grandis is the source of this 435-nucleotide long non-coding RNA. RefSeq lists it as uncharacterized. NCBI's taxonomy places the organism in Eukaryota, Metazoa, Arthropoda, Insecta, Coleoptera, Curculionidae. The transcript is spliced from 3 exons. The record is from RefSeq and is a predicted model, not a curated record.